UACAGAGGUCUCAAGCGUUGUUCGGAUUCAUUGGGCGUAAAGGGUGCGUAGGCGGCCAACUAAGUCCGACGUGAAAUCCCCAGGCUUAACCUGGGAACUGCGUCGGAUACUGGAUGGCUUGAAUUCGGGAGAGGGAUGCAGAAUUCCAGGUGUAGCGGUGAAAUGCGUAGAUAUCUGGAGGAAUACCGGUGGCGAAGGCGGCAUCCUGGACCGAGAUUGACGCUGAACGGCGAAAGCUAGGGGAGCAAACGGG
Molecule: ribosomal RNA, 253 nt
Filed under: uncultured bacterium
Lineage: Bacteria
Description: partial 16S ribosomal RNA
Rfam family: Bacterial small subunit ribosomal RNA
Source: RNAcentral